AUUGAACGCUGGCGGCAGGCCUAACACAUGCAAGUCGAGCGAGCGGCGGACGGGUGAGUAAUGUAUGGGGACUGCCCGAUAGAGGGGGAUAACUACUGGAAACGGUGGCUAAUACCGCAUACUAUCGGAUGACCCAUAUGGGAUUAGCUAGUAGGUGGGGUAAAGGGUCACCUAGGCGCCGAUCACUAGCUGGUCUGAGAGGCUGACCGGCCCAACUGGGACUGAGACACGGCCCAGACUCCUACGGAGGCAGCAGUGGGGAAUAUUGCACAAUGGGCGAAAGCCUGAUCCAGCAAUGCCGCGUGUAUGAAGAAGGCCUUAGGGUUGUAAAGUACUUUCAGCGGGGAGGCGUUACCCGCAGAGGAAGCACCGGCUAACUCCGUGCCAGCAGCCGCGGUAAUUC
Molecule: ribosomal RNA, 403 nt
Filed under: uncultured bacterium
Lineage: Bacteria
Description: partial 16S ribosomal RNA
Rfam family: Bacterial small subunit ribosomal RNA
Source: RNAcentral